RNAcentral lists this ribosomal RNA (559 nucleotides) under uncultured bacterium. RNAcentral describes it as "partial 16S ribosomal RNA". It matches the Rfam family "Bacterial small subunit ribosomal RNA", at positions 355 to 907 of the family's 1533-position model. The record is from RNAcentral.
UGGGGAAUUUUGGACAAUGGGCGAAAGCCUGAUCCAGCAAUGCCGCGUGUGUGAAGAAGGCCUUCGGGUUGUAAAGCACUUUUGUCCGGAAAGAAAUCCUUGGCUCUAAUACAGUCGGGGGAUGACGGUACCGGAAGAAUAAGCACCGGCUAACUACGUGCCAGCAGCCGCGGUAAUACGUAGGGUGCAAGCGUUAAUCGGAAUUACUGGGCGUAAAGCGUGCGCAGGCGGUUUGCUAAGACCGAUGUGAAAUCCCCGGGCUCAACCUGGGAACUGCAUUGGUGACUGGCAGGCUAGAGUAUGGCAGAGGGGGGUAGAAUUCCACGUGUAGCAGUGAAAUGCGUAGAGAUGUGGAGGAAUACCGAUGGCGAAGGCAGCCCCCUGGGCCAAUACUGACGCUCAUGCACGAAAGCGUGGGGAGCAAACAGGAUUAGAUACCCUGGUAGUCCACGCCCUAAACGAUGUCAACUAGUUGUUGGGGACUUCAUUUUCCUUAGUAACGUAGCUAACGCGUGAGUUGACCGCCUGGGGAGUACGGUCGCAAGAUUAAACUCAAAUG